Molecule: ribosomal RNA, 495 nt
Filed under: uncultured bacterium
Lineage: Bacteria
Description: bacterial SSU rRNA
Rfam family: Bacterial small subunit ribosomal RNA
Source: RNAcentral
GACGAACGCUGGCGGCGCGCUUAACACAUGCAAGUCGAGCGAGAACCAGUCCUUCGGGACUGGGGAAAGCGGCGAACGGGUGAGUAACACGUGGGUAUCUGCCCUCGGCACCGGAAUAGCCCGGGGAAACCCGGAUUAAUGCCGGAUGGCCUCUCUGCCCCUCGGGGCGGCGAGAAAAGGUAGCUUCGGCCUCCGGCCGAGGAUGAGCCCGCGGCCGAUUAGCUUGUUGGUGGGGUAACGGCUCACCAAGGCGACGAUCGGUAGCUGGUCUGAGAGGACGAUCAGCCACACUGGGACUGAGACACGGCCCAGACUCCUACGGGAGGCAGCAGUGGGGAAUCUUGCGCAAUGGGCGAAAGCCUGACGCAGCGACGCCGCGUGGGGGAUGAAGGCCUUCGGGUUGUAAACUCCUUUCGCCAUUGACGAAGCCCUUUGGGGUGACGGUAGGUGGAGAAGAAGCACCGGCUAACUACGUGCCAGCAGCCGCAGUAAAAC